AUAGGUUAAUGAGGCGAACCGGGGGAACUGAAACAUCUAAGUACCCCGAGGAAAAGAAAUCAACCGAGAUUCCCCCAGUAGCGGCGAGCGAACGGGGAGGAGCCCAGAGCCUGAAUCAGCAUGUGUGUUAGUGGAAGCGUCUGGAAAGGCGCGCGAUACAGGGUGACAGCCCCGUACACAAAAGCGCAUAUGCUGUGAGCUCGAUGAGUAGGGCGGGACACGUGGUAUCCUGUCUGAAUAUGGGGGGACCAUCCUCCAAGGCUAAAUACUCCUGACUGACCGAUAGUGAACCAGUACCGUGAGGGAAAGGCGAAAAGAACCCCGGCGAGGGGAGUGAAACAGAACCUGAAACCGU
This 355-nucleotide ribosomal RNA is filed under the name Salmonella enterica. Its description in RNAcentral is "partial 23S ribosomal RNA". It matches the Rfam family "Bacterial large subunit ribosomal RNA", at positions 166 to 559 of the family's 2925-position model. Lineage: Bacteria; Pseudomonadati; Pseudomonadota; Gammaproteobacteria; Enterobacterales; Enterobacteriaceae. The record is from RNAcentral. RNAcentral also lists the same sequence under 2 other names.